GCAAGUCGAGCGGUAAGGCCCUUCGGGGUACACGAGCGGCGAACGGGUGAGUAACACGUGAGCAACCUGCCCCUGACUCUGGGAUAAGCGGUGGAAACGCCGUCUAAUACCGGAUACGACCCACCACCUCAUGGUGGAGGGUGGAAAGUUUUAUCGGUCAGGGAUGGGCUCGCGGCCUAUCAGCUUGUUGGUGGGGUAACGGCCUACCAAGGCGAUUACGGGUAGCCGGCCUGAGAGGGCGACCGGCCACACUGGGACUGAGACACGGCCCAGACUCCUGCGGGAGGCAGCAGUGGGGAAUAUUGCACAAUGGGCGAAAGCCUGAUGCAGCGACGCCGCGUGGGGGAUGACGGCCUUCGGGUUGUAAACCUCUUUUACCACCAACGCAGGCUCCACGUUCUCGUGGGGUUGACGGUAGGUGGGGAAUAAGGACCGGCUAACUACGUGCCAGCAGCCGCGGUAAUACGUAGGGUCCGAGCGUUGUCCGGAAUUAUUGGGCGUAAAGAGCUCGUAGGCGGCAUGUCGCGUCUGCUGUGAAAAGACCGGGGCUUAACUCCGGUUCUGCAGUGGAUACGGGCAUGCUAGAGGUAGGUAGGGGAGACUGGAAUUUCCUGGUGUAGCGGUGAAAUGCGCAGAUUAUCAAGGAGGAACACCCGGUUGGCGAAGGCGGG
RNAcentral lists this ribosomal RNA (671 nucleotides) under Nocardiopsis sp. Its description in RNAcentral is "bacterial SSU rRNA". It matches the Rfam family "Bacterial small subunit ribosomal RNA", at positions 57 to 725 of the family's 1533-position model. The record is from RNAcentral. Lineage: Bacteria; Bacillati; Actinomycetota; Actinomycetes; Streptosporangiales; Nocardiopsidaceae.